This is a non-coding RNA of Lonchura striata (white-rumped munia), 359 nucleotides long. The record is from RefSeq and is a predicted model, not a curated record. NCBI's taxonomy places the organism in Eukaryota, Metazoa, Chordata, Aves, Passeriformes, Estrildidae.
AGAAUGAGAAGCAUGAUCCUGCAGCAUGGGUGGUUAGAUGCACAGCUCUGUCCACAUCCAAGAUCUUCACAAGAAAAGAAUGAUCUAUUGAAAGCAAGAUUCUGAGGAAGAUUCAGAUGUGCUCCUAUGCUAGCAUACUGCAGAAAGAUGAAGAACAUGUGGAAAAAUACUGAACACCAUAUGGGAAAUACAGAUGUAUUACCUUGUACUUUUCCAAGCUGAAUCAUCUCUAUUUUUUUCCUGACUGUAUUUCUACCAUCACUUAUUAAAUUGGUCCCACUGCUUCUCUCAAAAAUAGGUGGUUUCUUUACAUGCUAUUCUUUCAGAAUGUAGAAUUCAAAUAAAAGAGAUGCAAAACU